GCCCCUGUGAUGAAACAGGUAAACAUAUCUCGCUUAAACCGAGAGUUUUGCAGGUUCAAAUCCUGUCAGGGGUA
Molecule: transfer RNA, 74 nt
Filed under: Spirulina sp. SIO3F2
Lineage: Bacteria; Bacillati; Cyanobacteriota; Cyanophyceae; Spirulinales; Spirulinaceae
Description: tRNA-Leu
Rfam family: tRNA
About the family: Transfer RNA (tRNA) molecules are approximately 80 nucleotides in length.
Source: RNAcentral